RNAcentral lists this ribosomal RNA (384 nucleotides) under uncultured bacterium. RNAcentral describes it as "bacterial SSU rRNA". It matches the Rfam family "Bacterial small subunit ribosomal RNA", at positions 30 to 412 of the family's 1533-position model. The record is from RNAcentral.
AUUGAACGCUGGCGGCAUGCCUUACACAUGCAAGUCGAACGGCAGCACGGGAGCAAUCCUGGUGGCGAGUGGCGAACGGGUGAGUAAUAUAUCGGAACGUGCCCAGUCGUGGGGGAUAACGUAGCGAAAGCUACGCUAAUACCGCAUACGAUCUAUGGAUGAAAGCGGGGGAUCGCAAGACCUCGCGCGAUUGGAGCGGCCGAUAUCAGAUUAGGUAGUUGGUGAGGUAAAGGCUCACCAAGCCGACGAUCUGUAGCUGGUCUGAGAGGACGACCAGCCACACUGGGACUGAGACACGGCCCCAGACUCCUACGGGAGGCAGCAGUGGGGGAAUUUUUGGACAAUGGGCGCAAGCCUGAUCAGCAAUGCCGCGUGCAGGAUGAA